GACGAACGCUGGCGGCGUGCUUAACACAUGCAAGUCGAACGGAGAGGCCCCUUUGGGGGUCCUCGAGUGGCGAACGGGUGAGUAACACGUGAGUAACCUGCCCUUGACUUCGGGAUAACUUCAGGAAACUGGGGCUAAUACCGGAUAGGAAUCCUUGCUGCAUGGUGGGGGUUGGAAAGCUUCGGCGGUUUUGGAUGGACUCGCGGCUUAUCAGCUUGUUGGUGGGGUAGUGGCUUACCAAGGCUUUGACGGGUAGCCGGCCUGAGAGGGCGACCGGCCACAUUGGGACUGAGAUACGGCCCAGACUCCUACGGGAGGCAGCAGUGGGGAAUAUUGCACAAGGGGCGGAAGCCUGAUGCAGCAACGCCGCGUGCGGGAUGACGGCCUUCGGGUUGUAAACCGCUUUCAGCAGGGGCGAAGCUUGUGGUGACGGUACCUGCAGAAGAAGCACCGGCUAACUACGUG
This 465-nucleotide ribosomal RNA is filed under the name uncultured bacterium. RNAcentral's name for it is "partial 16S ribosomal RNA". It matches the Rfam family "Bacterial small subunit ribosomal RNA", at positions 28 to 507 of the family's 1533-position model. The record is from RNAcentral.